AUGCUGGCAUUGGACUAUUAUGUAUUUUCUUUACUGUUUCUAGUCAUUCUGACAGGUGUCAGCUGUCAAGAACUCACUCCAGUCAACAAUGAAGAGAACAGUUUAGAAGGCAGCACUGUUACUCUGUCCUACAACUACUCCAAACAAGCUGAUAGCAAUGAUUAUUUCUUCUGGUAUCGACAAUAUCCAGCAAAACCGCCAGAGUUCCUCAUUUCCCAUUUCGAGGGCCACAUUAUCAAGUAG
Thunnus maccoyii (southern bluefin tuna) is the source of this 243-nucleotide non-coding RNA. The record is from the annotation of a RefSeq genome assembly. Lineage: Eukaryota; Metazoa; Chordata; Actinopteri; Scombriformes; Scombridae.